Selaginella moellendorffii is the source of this 301-nucleotide long non-coding RNA. RefSeq lists it as uncharacterized. The record is from RefSeq and is a predicted model, not a curated record. The transcript is spliced from 4 exons. Lineage: Eukaryota; Viridiplantae; Streptophyta; Lycopodiopsida; Selaginellales; Selaginellaceae.
UGCUUUGCGGACGACGAGCUCCAUCGCUCUUCCUCGCUCGGUGCUGUGACGACUCCCAUCCAUCACCACCAUUUAUACAGAAAUAUCCUUUUCCAAAUGAUUUUGCGCGGCUUGUAGUGGAAGAGCAACUCCAGUAAAAAGUGACUGAUCACUAGCGAAAAAAAUGAAGAAAAACGCUUCAAUACGGCCGGAACUUAGGUGCUAGCUACAAACCUUGAUAUACUGGAGGAUAGCCAGACGAAGUUGGAGGAGGCCCAUACGAAGCUGGAGCUGUAGGAACAUAAGGAGGUGGCUGCUGAUG